Stegodyphus mimosarum is the source of this 73-nucleotide non-coding RNA. The record is from Rfam. Lineage: Eukaryota; Metazoa; Arthropoda; Arachnida; Araneae; Eresidae.
GCCUUCGUGGUGUAGUGGUCUGCAUGCUCGACACGUAUUCCAGAGGCCCGUGGUUCGAGUCCUGGUGAAGGCG